AAUGGGGGCAACCCUGAUCCAGCAAUGCCGCGUGAGUGAUGAAGGCCUUAGGGUUGUAAAGCUCUUUCGCCCGAGACGAUGAUGACGGUAUCGGGAGAAGAAGCCCCGGCUAAUUCCGUGCCAGCAGCCGCGGUAAUACGGAAGGGGCUAGCGUUGUUCGGAAUUACUGGGCGUAAAGCGCGCGUAGGCGGCUUGGCAAGUGAGGCGUGAAAGGCCUGGGCUCAACCCGGGAACGGCGCUUCAGACUGUCUGGCUCGAGUUCGGGAGAGGGUGGUGGAAUUCCCAGUGUAGAGGUGAAAUUCGUAGAUAUUGGGAGGAACACCGGUGGCGAAGGCGGCCACCUGGCCCGCAACUGACGCUAAAGUGCGAAAGCGUGGGGAGCGAA
Molecule: ribosomal RNA, 385 nt
Filed under: uncultured bacterium
Lineage: Bacteria
Description: bacterial SSU rRNA
Rfam family: Bacterial small subunit ribosomal RNA
Source: RNAcentral